CUCCCUCUGACUGGAACGUAAUGGACAGAAACAAGUAUUUGUCCUGUCUGCUCACAUGAUAUUAGAGCCAAUGAGAGUGAAGAGACACAGUCUGGUUUUGUGUUCAUCCGGGUGACAAAUAGAAGCUGUGGUUUGAGAUGAGACCACAUUUUCCCGCAGGGUGUGUAGACUGAUUUCUGAACUGUCUGAGGUGAAGCUCUCAGUUAUUUCAUCUCACAAUCGACUGACUCUAUUCUUCCACGGUGUCUCUGUUGAAAAUUAUGCCCUCAAGGAGUGAGGAGUAACUGAGGGAAAGUUCAACAAGUUGGGCACAGGACACAGCAGCACUGCAGCUAUAAUGGACUGUUUUGGACACACCCUCCUCUGAAGUUACACUGAUUUCCAUGAAGCCGUUUGGGGGCUUGGUUUGCCCGCAAGCUGAUCCCACCGUCGGUGGAGUCAACAAGGCACUUACACGCUCCUCGUCCUCCAACGUCACACCGCCUCUGCUGAGCAAAACCCGAGUGGCACCGCUGUCAUACAGCGUGAUAUCAAGGAGCUGCUAAAAAACCUGUCUGGGCUGGCGGAGUAUAUGGCAGUCAUGAUUAAGGUUGCACAAUUCCAGGAAUUUUCAAUACAUUCCCUGGUUGUACUGAAAUCCCAGUUGGAGGAUUCCCAGAAUCAGAAGGAAAUAAGCAAGAAAUACAGAAUCCUCCAACCAGGAUUUCUGGAAAACCAGGUCAUUUAUUGUAAGUUUCCGUAUUUUUGGAAUCCUAGUCAUCAGUAUGAGAGUAGCUAAGACAGCACUUCUCUACAUUACAGCAUUCUAUGGGCCUACCACUAUUCAUUUAUCUUGUUCCUCAACCUUGACUUACAGUAAAAGUAUGUUGAGCAAACAUUGAGCAAAUUAAAGGCUCGAUAUUAUGAUAUUGUUGGUUCUCCAUCUGGUGAAUCUAUAGUCCAACUGAAAGUCUUUCUACAGCGUUUUUUCUUUGCUACAAUACUGAAUAAGUCUCCAUACUGCCUUAUGUAAGUCUAAUGCAGACAUCUAGUCUGCUAUGUUUCAUGAGCUGAAAUAAAAGAUCCCACAUAUGUAUAUAUAUAUAUAUUAAGCUGAUCCACCCCUAAAAUAAAAUGUAAAAAAGAAUUUAAAAAAUAUAUAUAUAUUUAUUUAUUUAAUUUAUUUAUUUUUAUUAAAAAGAUAAUCCAUCCACCUGACAGGUACGGCAUAUCAAGAAGCUGAUUAAACAGCAUGACACAGGUGCACCAUGUGUUGUGUGACAAAAUUGCACAUUUUAGAGUGCCCUUUUAUUGACCCCAGCACAGAGCAAUUGGCACUGACUGCAGGAAUGUCUACCAGAGCUGUUGCCAUAGAAUUUAAUGUUAAUUUAUCUACCAUAAGUUGCCUCCAACGUAAUUUGGUAGUGCGUCCAACCGGCCUCACAACAGCGGUUUGCUGAUGUCAAUGUUGUGAACAGAGUGCUCCAUGGACAAGGAACACAAUUGCAUUUUAUCGAUGGAAAUUUGAAUGCACAGAGAUACAGUGACGAGAUCCCGAGGCACAUUGUCGUGUCAUUCAUCCGCCGCCAUCACGUCAUGUUUCAGCAUGAUAAAUCACAGCCCCGUGUUGCAAGGAUCUGUGCACAAUUUCUGGAUGAUAAAAAUGUCCCAGUUCUUCCAUGGCCUGCAUACUAACCAGACAUGCCACCCUUUGAGCAUGUUUGGGAUGCUCUGGAUUGACGUGUACGACAGCUUGUUCCAGUUCCUGACAAUAUCCAGCAACUUCACACAGCAAUUGAAGAGGAGUGGGACAACAUUCCACAAGCCACAAUCAAAAGCCUGAUUAACUCCAUGCAAAUGAGAUAUUGACUGGUUUUCUGAUCCACGCCUCUACCUUUUUUUAAAGGCAUUGUGUCAUGUGAAAUCGAUAGAUUAGGGCCUAAUGAAUGUAUUUCAAUUGACUGAUUUCCUCCUAUGAACUGUAAAAAAAAUAUGUGCAUGUUGCGUUUAUAUUUUUGUUCAGUAUAUGUCAACCUGUGUGUGGUUACAAUUGAGAACAUCAUUGCUACAACAUACUGUCUUGGCACAUCUGCUGAACAGCCCCAUGACACCUUUAAAUAGAAAAGCCAUUCACUUUUUUAAGACACAACCCACUGGGCACACACUGGUUGAAUCAAUGUUGUUUCCACUCAUUUCAAUGACGUUGAACCAACGUGGGAUAGACGUUGAAUUGACGUCUGUGCCCAGUGAGAAUGCAUCUUGUAUCCAGUAGGUUGCAUAUUGCUCUGUUGCACGCAAGGCACAUUUUGACAUGCACACAGAAACACAGACAAACAAACACACAGACACACAAACACUGACACACAAAUACACAGACACACAAACACAGACCAGAUCCCCAAGUGUUGGGAAGGAAUAUCAUGCUCUGUGGCUCGAGACAAAACAUUUUGCUAACGCGGACGGUUCCAUCUGCACACAGAGCCCGGCAUUCCCAACGAGAUACAAUGACAACAACAAAGGCGAUGAUAUGUCUUCUAAUGCCACUGUGGAGCUUCCAGAGCCAAUUGUUUUGCAGCCUGGCACAGUAUACCGUUCUGAGAUGUUGUUGUGAUCGCUUGGAUACUAGCCAUGAAAGUGUAAAAAUACAAGAGGACGAGCAACUUCCUCCCAGCAACCUCGACAACCUGGCUUGGCGACGUCUCCUCGUGUGUACGUGUCAAUUUGCUAAGUCUCCUGAUUGUCCCUGUUGGCUUCCUGUCUCGUUUAGAGCAGCUAGAGACAGAGGUAAAGUAAUAACACGUAUUUAUUUAUUUAUUUAUUACUUUGUUUUGUUACUUUGUUUUGACGCUACAGCGUUGCAACGCAAUGCUACAUUGGAUGCCCAUAGGUUAGGUUAGGGAGUUCACCACAGGUGGGAUGUACUAGCAUUCAAUAGAUUUCUAUUGGAAAUUACCAUGAAAAGCAACCCGUUUUGGUGACAGUUCCACCACCCACAAGCAUCCCAGUUGAACGCCAAUGACUGUGGAUGCCCUAUUUCUACCCAUGUCAGAGACGCAAACUCGGUCUCAACCUUUAAGUCUUUACUGAAGACUCAUCUCUUCAGUGGGUCAUAUGAUUGAGUGUAGUCUGGCCCAGGAGUGGGAAGGUGAACGGAAAGGCUCUGGAGCAACGAACCGCCCUUGCUGUCUCUGCCUGGCCGAUUCCCCUCUUUCCACUGGGAUUCUCUGCCUCUACCCUGUUACGGGGGCUGAGUCACUGGCUUACUGGGGCUCUCUCAUGCCGUCCCUGGGGGGGGGUGCGUCACCUGGGUGGGUUGAUUCACUGUUGUGGUCGGCCUGUCUGGGUUGGCGCCUCCCCCUUGGGUUGUGCCGUGGCGGAGAUCUUUGUGGGCUAUACUCGGCCUUGUCUCAGGAUGGUAAGUUGGUGGUUGAAGAUAUCCCUCUAGUGGUGUGGGGGCUGUGCUUUGGCAAAGUGGGUGGGGUUAUAUCCUUCCUGUUUGGCCCUGUCCGGGGGUGUCCUCGGGUUGGGGCCACAGUGUCUCCUGACCCCUCCUGUCUCAGCCUCCAGUAUUUAUGCUGCAUUAGUUUAUGUGUCGGGGCUAGGGUCAGUUUGUUAUAUCUGGAGUACUUCUCCUGUCCUAUUCGGUGUCCUGUGUGAAUCUAAGUGUGCGUUCUCUAAUUCUCUCCUUCUCUCUUUCUUUCUCUCUCUCGGAGGACCUGAGCCCUAGGACCAUGCCCCAGGACUACCUGACAUGAUGACUCCUUGCUGUCCCCAGUCCACCUGGCCAUGCUGCUGCUCCAGUUUCAACUGGCCUGGGCCCUAGGACCAUGUCCCAGGACUACCUGACAUGAUGACUCCUUGCUGUCCCCAGUCCACCUGGCCAUGCUGCUGCUCCAGUUUCAACUGUUCUGCCUUACUAUUAUUCAACCAUGCUGGUCAUUUAUGAACAUUUGAACAUCUUGGCCACGUUCUGUUAUAAUCUCCACCCGGCACAGCCAGAAGAGGACUGGCCACCCCACAUAUGCUCUCUCUAAUUCUCUCUUUCUUUCUCUCUCUCUCGGAGGACCUGAGCCCUAGGACCGUGCCCCAGGACUACCUGACAUGAUGACUCCUUGCUGUCCCCAGUCCACCUGACUGUGCUGCUGCUCCAGUUUCAACUGUUCUGCCUUAUUAUUAUUCGACCAUGCUGGUCAUUUAUGAACAUUUGAACAUCUUGGUCAUGUUCUGUUAUAAUCUCUACCCGGCACAGCCAGAAGAGGACUGGCCACCCCACAUAGCCUGGUUCCUCUCUAGGUUUCUUCCUAGGUUUUGGCCUUUCUAGGGAGUUUUUCCUAGCCACCGUGCUUUUACACCUGCAUUGUUUGCUGUUUGGGGUUUUAGGCUGGGUUUCUGUACAGCACUUUGAGAUAUCAGCUGAUGUACGAAGGGCUAUAUAAAUAAAUUUGAUUUGAUUUGAUUUGAUAUUUCUCACACCUUACAACUAUGCGUUCAAGUGAGAUUAUCACAAUUUUAUAUGACCCAGAAAGACCCCUCCUCUGGCCUUGUAUGGAGCUUCUAGGCUUUUGCCCAGAGGCACUGGGCCCACCCAAUGCGUGCUGCAUGGGAAUAUAGGGUCCUUUCUUAUCAGUAAGAACAUCAGGUUAAGCUCUGACAUCACCCUCAGGAAGCCAUCCACCACUGAGAGUCAUCCUAACUGACUGUCAAAACAGACACUUCCCCAUUCAUUCUCAGUUUUUAUGAAACCAACACUAAUUCCUUUGCAGCACCAUCAUGUUCUAGUUUUUUCUUUGUUACAUGUGACCGUGCAUGUGACUCAGAGGCAGAGGCACAAGAUGACCUUCUGGUCAGCCAGUACUUCUGUAAUGAACCCCCUGGCUGGAUUUUUAUAGGAUGCUUUUAAUGGGAGAUACACAAGAGCAUAAAUCAAUCUGAACUGGAGAUGUUCAUCUUGAGAUUGUAGAAGCAGCCAAGAAGCACCACCACGCUCAUUUGGGAAUAACUGGACCAGACUGGGUCACCUGAGUUAUGGUGUCAUGUCGUAGGCUCACGCUAGGCCUGUUGCGGGCUAAAAGGUGUUGUUAAUUUAGACCAGAAUCUUGACCAUGAUGUUUGUUUGUCUGUCUGCUUGUCAUUGAUUUGUCGUUGAUUUAGGACAAACAAAUCGGUACCAAAAACAUCUGUGCGGACCUCCAUUGAAUUUCCGAAAUCCCAAUGAGGCCCUUCUCAGACAGACCGUAAGAGAAGUCAAUGCCCUGUUUGUGAUAUGUGCCAUAACCACCUAUUGCAAUGUGUCAAGACACAUACUGUAUGUGCCAAGCUACCAAGCCAGGCCCUGCCCCAGUAGGUUUGGUGAGAGAUGGAAAAGUCUAUUUUGGUCAUGUUUUGAAAAUGUUGGUAGUUUGAACUGACAGUUUUGUAUGAAUGUGUUAUCCUGGAUGGCCUGUCAAAUCAAUAAUACCACCCUGGUAUUCUGUUUCCUCGUUCACUACAGACAGCAGUGCCUACUAGGCCACAGACGUUUCCAGUGAAGGAGCUUAUAAUGCCUCUACCACACAGCCACCUCACUCACGUGAACAAGGCAUUGGAGGUUUGGUCUCAUAAACUAGUCCCAGAUGGAGUUUUGAUGAGAUAAAAAAAAUGACAUGGAAAUAA
Long non-coding RNA from Oncorhynchus nerka (sockeye salmon), 5631 nucleotides. RefSeq lists it as uncharacterized. The transcript has 2 exons. The record is from RefSeq and is a predicted model, not a curated record. NCBI's taxonomy places the organism in Eukaryota, Metazoa, Chordata, Actinopteri, Salmoniformes, Salmonidae.